UACAUUUCCAUAUUAAUAGUUCUGUCUAGGCAUUGGUGUAUAUCUUACCACUCCCUUGGAUGAGAUCAAAACAAGACUACAAGUACAAGGAUCAACCUUGAGGUACAAAGGCUGGUUGGAUGCAAUUCGCAGCGUAUGGAGGGCCGAAGGGGUUACAUGGUAUAUUCCAGCUUCAGCACUUACGUUUAUGGCUGUAGAAUUUCUGAGUGAACAUUUCAACGAAGGAUUGAGCAACGAGAACACCCGAGAAGUUGCUAGCAUGUCAGUGGAGAAAAGUGAUCACGUUUACAAGGAACCGCUUGAGAAGUAGAAAUAUAUGCACAGAUUCUUUUGCCCAUCAUGUAGUUCUGACGAGACUUUCGUCGUGUUUUCGUGUAGUACGUGUACAUACACACGUAUAAAUUGCAUUUAAUCCUAACUAGGGUUUUUUUU
Pyrus x bretschneideri (Chinese white pear) is the source of this 432-nucleotide long non-coding RNA. RefSeq lists it as uncharacterized. The record is from RefSeq and is a predicted model, not a curated record. Lineage: Eukaryota; Viridiplantae; Streptophyta; Magnoliopsida; Rosales; Rosaceae. The transcript has 3 exons.